RNAcentral lists this ribosomal RNA (424 nucleotides) under uncultured bacterium. RNAcentral describes it as "bacterial SSU rRNA". It matches the Rfam family "Bacterial small subunit ribosomal RNA", at positions 355 to 796 of the family's 1533-position model. The record is from RNAcentral.
UAACGAAUCUUCCGCAAUGCACGAAAGUGUGACGGAGCGACGCCGCGUGUAGGACGAAGCCCUUCGGGGUGUAAACUACUGUCAGGGGUUAGAAAGUUCUGAUCAACCCCAGAGGAAGGCACGGCUAACUCUGUGCCAGCAGCCGCGGUAAGACAGAGGUGCCGAGCGUUAGGCGGAAUCACUGGGCUUAAAGCGUGUGUAGGCGGAUCGUUAAGUACCUUGUGAAAUCCCAUGGCUCAACCAUGGAACUGCUUGGUAUACUGGCGGUCUUGAGCCAGCUAGGGGCUACCGGAACAAAUGGUGGAGCGGUGAAAUGCGUAGAUAUCAUUUGGAACGCCAAUGGUGAAAACAGGUAGCUGGGGCUGUGCUGACGCUGAGACACGAAAGCCAGGGGAGCGAACGGGAUUAGAUACCCCCGUAGUCC